UACCUUGAAUAGCUCGGUCGGUAGAGCAUAAUACUCUUAAUCUCAAAGUUUUGGAUUCAAUCCCCAUGUUGGGUAA
This is a non-coding RNA of Podarcis lilfordi (Lilford's wall lizard), 76 nucleotides long. NCBI's taxonomy places the organism in Eukaryota, Metazoa, Chordata, Lepidosauria, Squamata, Lacertidae. The record is from the annotation of a GenBank genome assembly.